CAUCAUGGAAGGGGAAGAAUCCUUUGAACAAUUUUCCCCUGAAGUUAGAAUAAAAGAUCCACGCAAUAGAGAAACCGGCUCUCUUCUUCCCCCUAUUAAACUUUUCCAUGGAACUUCAGAUUUAUCAAUACCAUCAGAUGCCAGUAUAACCUUUUAGAAGCCGUUAGAGGGGUAGGGGCUGAGACAGAAGUGAUUCUAUAUGAAGGAAAAUCCCAUACCGAUCUAUUUUUACAGGAUCCGUUAAGAGGUGGAAAGGACGAUCUAUUUGAUCAUAUGGUUUCUGUGAUACAUGCGGGUGAUGAGGAAGCUCUCGCCAAGGAUGCGUUGGCACCUCC
This is a long non-coding RNA of Hibiscus syriacus, 335 nucleotides long. RefSeq lists it as uncharacterized. The transcript has 3 exons. Lineage: Eukaryota; Viridiplantae; Streptophyta; Magnoliopsida; Malvales; Malvaceae. The record is from RefSeq and is a predicted model, not a curated record.